AAUGCUUCAUAUGAUCUUUAUUGUGCCCAUUUGGUAGGAGAGACUUGCAUUAACAAAAAACACAACACCUCAGGUUAACAGGACAAGAGAAUGUAUUGCUUUGCAGAGGAAGAAACACUUACGGGUGAACAGGUUGGUGAUGCACUAAGCCACACAAAGCAACACCCUGACGCGUCUGUGGAUUUCAGUGACAACCGCAAAUCCCACGGCAAACACGGCAGUCGUUUCAGACACACCCAUUGGAAUGUAUGUAACAGGUAUGGAGACAAAAUGGCCUCCUAAGAUAAGACCGUUAGUUAAAGCUACAUCGCCUUCUACCCUACAUUAUUCUACCGGUUCCUACCUAUCCAUCAGUCUACAGUAAUCUGGUACCACUAAAGGGGAAAAGAUGUAAAGAAGAACAGAGCAAAUUUACCCUAUUCUCUCUUCAUUUCCUAACUUUUUAACAUAAAACAUACGUACCCUUCACUGAAGUAUUCAUAUUUCAUAACAUUCUAAACACCCCCCCUGUAGUGAGAGAUUUACUUAUUGGCUCAGAGAUUGAACUCCACAUAAAAAAAAAAAAAAUUUCUCAGUCCGUUCUCUCCAGACAGAAACCGUAACACUUGAGGUAACAGAGAAAAUAAAUGUACUGAGAGAGGCCCAAAUAUUGUGCCGUGGGGGAGGAAAACUUCACCCCCUAAAUACACUUCAAUGCUUAGAAUUUCUAACACUUUGUAAGGCACACAAAGUUUGUAUUAUUAUAAAAAUAGUACACCUUUCCAGUUAUGCCAAGUCUACAAGGCCUUUUUGUGUGUAACAGACUAUCAGUUGUGUGUAAGAGAUCAAGGCCUUAUGAAUAGCACUGCGAGACUCAACACAAGGUCCCAUUAAGUUUGUUAAUAUAGGCCUAGACCUGCCUCCUGCUAAAUAUCACCCACAACAAACCCUGAGACAUUCCACACAUUUUACAAAAACAUUAAAACAGCAGCAAGUCACUCGCGCAAUGCACCCACCCACCCACCCACGCGCGCGCACACACAC
Molecule: long non-coding RNA, 1023 nt
Organism: Clupea harengus (Atlantic herring)
Lineage: Eukaryota; Metazoa; Chordata; Actinopteri; Clupeiformes; Clupeidae
Source: Ensembl